UGGGGAAUAUUUGACAAUGGGCGCAAGCCUGAUCCAGCCAUGCCGCGUGGGUGAUGAAGGCCCUAGGGUUGUAAAGCCCUUUCGGCGGGGAAGAUAAUGACGGUACCCGCAGAAGAAGCCCCGGCUAACUUCGUGCCAGCAGCCGCGGUAAUACGAAGGGGGCUAGCGUUGCUCGGAAUCACUGGGCGUAAAGCGCACGUAGGCGGAUUGCUAAGUCAGGGGUGAAAUCCUGGAGCUCAACUCCAGAACUGCCCUUGAUACUGGCGAUCUCGAGUCCGGGAGAGGUGAGUGGAACUGCGAGUGUAGAGGUGAAAUUCGUAGAUAUUCGCAAGAACACCAGUGGCGAAGGCGGCUCACUGGCCCGGUACUGACGCUGAGGUGCGAAAGCGUGGGGAGCAAACAGG
This 404-nucleotide ribosomal RNA is filed under the name Bacillota bacterium. RNAcentral describes it as "Firmicutes bacterium partial 16S ribosomal RNA". It matches the Rfam family "Bacterial small subunit ribosomal RNA", at positions 355 to 776 of the family's 1533-position model. The record is from RNAcentral. Lineage: Bacteria; Bacillati; Bacillota.